Molecule: unclassified non-coding RNA, 145 nt
Filed under: Gigaspora rosea
Lineage: Eukaryota; Fungi; Glomeromycota; Glomeromycetes; Diversisporales; Gigasporaceae
Description: partial internal transcribed spacer region
Rfam family: Eukaryotic small subunit ribosomal RNA (bases 1-46)
Source: RNAcentral
AAGUCGUAACAAGGUUUCCGUAGGUGAACCUGCGGAAGGAUCAUUAAAAAAAUGAGGUAUUUUAUACCUCUUGUAUUUAAAACCCAACUCUUUAAAAUAUUUUUUUUUUAAAAAAAAACUUUCAACAAUGGAUCUCUUGGCUCUC